RNAcentral lists this ribosomal RNA (473 nucleotides) under uncultured bacterium. RNAcentral's name for it is "bacterial SSU rRNA". It matches the Rfam family "Bacterial small subunit ribosomal RNA", at positions 328 to 793 of the family's 1533-position model. The record is from RNAcentral.
CGCUAUCACUCCUACGGGAGGCAGCAGUAGGGAAUCUUCCACAAUGGGCGCAAGCCUGAUGGAGCAACACCGCGUGAGUGAAGAAGGGUUUCGGCUCGUAAAGCUCUGUUGUUAAAGAAGAACACGUAUGAGAGUAACUGUUCAUACGUUGACGGUAUUUAACCAGAAAGUCACGGCUAACUACGUGCCAGCAGCCGCGGUAAUACGUAGGUGGCAAGCGUUAUCCGGAUUUAUUGGGCGUAAAGAGAGUGCAGGCGGUUUUCUAAGUCUGAUGUGAAAGCCUUCGGCUUAACCGGAGAAGUGCAUCGGAAACUGGAUAACUUGAGUGCAGAAGAGGGUAGUGGAACUCCAUGUGUAGCGGUGGAAUGCGUAGAUAUAUGGAAGAACACCAGUGGCGAGGGCGGCUACCUGGUCUGCAACUGACGCUGAGACUCGAAAGCAUGGGUAGCGAACAGGAUUAGAUACCCUGGUAG